Molecule: small RNA, 29 nt
Filed under: Bombyx mori (domestic silkworm)
Lineage: Eukaryota; Metazoa; Arthropoda; Insecta; Lepidoptera; Bombycidae
Description: ovarian small RNA-7618
Source: RNAcentral
UCGGCUACGACUGGGUGCUGAGAGGCGAG